Molecule: ribosomal RNA, 364 nt
Filed under: uncultured bacterium
Lineage: Bacteria
Description: partial 16S ribosomal RNA
Rfam family: Bacterial small subunit ribosomal RNA
Source: RNAcentral
CCUACGGGUGGCAGCAGUGAGGAAUAUUGGUCAAUGGGCGCGAGCCUGAACCAGCCAAGUAGCGUGAAGGAUGACUGCCCUACGGGUUGUAAACUUCUUUUAUAAAGGAAUAAAGUGAGGCACGCGUGCCUUUUUGUAUGUACUUUAUGAAUAAGGAUCGGCUAACUCCGUGCCAGCAGCCGCGGUAAUACGGAGGAUCCGAGCGUUAUCCGGAUUUAUUGGGUUAAAGGGGAGCGUAGAUGGGUUGUUAAGUCAGUUGUGAAAGUUUGCGGCUCAACCGUAAAAUUGCAAUUGAUACUGGGAGCCUUGGGUACGGUUGGGGAAGGCGAAUUUCGAGGUGUAGCGGUGAAAGGCUUGGAUAUCA